This 253-nucleotide ribosomal RNA is filed under the name uncultured bacterium. Its description in RNAcentral is "partial 16S ribosomal RNA". It matches the Rfam family "Bacterial small subunit ribosomal RNA", at positions 524 to 776 of the family's 1533-position model. The record is from RNAcentral.
UACGGAGGGGGCAAGCGUUGUUCGGAAUUACUGGGCGUAAAGGGCGCGUAGGCGGCCUGCUGCGUCGGGUGUGAAAGCCCCGGGCUCAACCUGGGAGGUGCACUUGAUACGGGCGGGCUGGAAUCCGGGAGAGGAUGGUGGAAUUCCCAGUGUAGAGGUGAAAUUCGUAGAUAUUGGGAAGAACACCGAUGGCGAAGGCAGCCAUCGGGACCGGUAGUGACGAUGAGGCGCGAAAGCGUGGGGAGCAAACAGG